CUGAAUACAGGCUCAAAGCAGGCGACGGGACAGGAAUGAGAGGAUGGAUGCUGGCAGGGGCUUGGAGCUUCUGCGGGGCUUGGCGCCGCCGUCCGUGAGCACCCAGGCCGGGACCCCACAUCCCCAGGCCAGCCCUGACCCCGGCGGCCCCUCCGCCGGGAUUCCUUUCCGAGGUACUGGUGCCGGCCCAAGACCCGGGCAGCGCUUUGUCGUGUCCGCCCCUCAGUGAUCAGCUCCGGGUCCCCCUGCUCGGCCCCGCGCGCCCCAAGCGCAGUCCCCGGAAGUGCGCGCCGGGGCCCCAGCAAAGGUCCUGACUUUUUGGAAUGCCCUUCUUCCUCCUUGGCUGGCAAUCAAUCUUUGAGACUAGAAGUUAAGUCUCCUUUUGGGUGAAGCAUCAUUCUUCAGUUCCUACAGACCAUUUUGUUGCUCCCUGCCCUGCCCCAGGUUGGGGGAAAGCCUCAGCCUCAGCCUCAGCCUCCCCUCUCCCCUCCUUUUUUUUAAAAAAUAAAUAUGUAUCUCUUGCA
RNAcentral lists this long non-coding RNA (524 nucleotides) under Homo sapiens (human). RNAcentral describes it as "non-protein coding lnc-EVA1A-1:1". The record is from RNAcentral. Lineage: Eukaryota; Metazoa; Chordata; Mammalia; Primates; Hominidae.